GGGGGCGUGGCUCAGUUGGUAGAGCGCUUCCUUAGCAUGGAAGAGGUCCUGGGUUCGAUUCCCGGCGCCUCCAC
Molecule: transfer RNA, 74 nt
Filed under: compost metagenome
Description: tRNA-Ala
Rfam family: tRNA
About the family: Transfer RNA (tRNA) molecules are approximately 80 nucleotides in length. Their secondary structure includes four short double-helical elements and three loops (D, anti-codon, and T loops).
Source: RNAcentral